AAAUAAGAGGGGGAAGAACUACGCAUAGCGGACGUGAACUGCAGAUGAUCAACUGAAUGAUCCUGAACACCUACCUACGUCAGACAUAACCCCACCGUGUCCUCGAUCGGAGAAGGAACUCACAAAAGAGACAGUCACGGUUACGCACACAGUUGGCAAGUUUUAAUUAAAUUAACUUCAAGUUAUCUAGAACCAGUGUUAAACAAAGUUUCCACGUUGCCACAUAACCGCGGGCACGGCUUUCCGAAAAGAUUUAACCCUGCAGGGGUGCUCCAACUAGUCCAUCACAAAUUACCACAUGC
This 302-nucleotide long non-coding RNA is filed under the name Hordeum vulgare. Its description in RNAcentral is "long non-coding RNA (HVUL_LNC001740)". The record is from RNAcentral. Lineage: Eukaryota; Viridiplantae; Streptophyta; Magnoliopsida; Poales; Poaceae.